GAACACAGACCUCUAGCUCUCCUUGCCGGCCUCCUGGCUAGACCUGCGCUCAUUGCGCACUCCGGCUGACGUGCAAGGGAGCCCGCUGGCCUCUCUGUGCCCUUUUCUGUCCCUGAAAUUCCUGUUGAGGCUCUCCCAACACCUUCCGACGCUCGUUAGUCAAAGCCUGGAGAAUAGUUACAUCUCCUGGAUGAUCGGUUCAGAAAUAUGUCCCAAUGCCCCCUCCCUCCGGAGCCUAGAGAAGAUUUGCAUCAUUUGGGUGAUCAGCGCAGAGAUAUAUCACAAUGUCCCAUGUACAAAAAGCCUGGAAAUGAUUUACAUCACCUCGGUGAUCAGUGCAUAGGUAUGUCAGAUAUCCCCAGUAGCCUGAACCUAGACAAGGGUUACAUCACUUAGGUGAUCAGCAUAGAGAUAUGUGAAAAUUCCC
Molecule: long non-coding RNA, 427 nt
Filed under: Homo sapiens (human)
Lineage: Eukaryota; Metazoa; Chordata; Mammalia; Primates; Hominidae
Description: HSALNT0288263
Source: RNAcentral